Myodes glareolus (Bank vole) is the source of this 2772-nucleotide non-coding RNA. The record is from RefSeq and is a predicted model, not a curated record. NCBI's taxonomy places the organism in Eukaryota, Metazoa, Chordata, Mammalia, Rodentia, Cricetidae.
GACCGCCCAGCCAGCUGGUUCUGCUGCGAGAGCACUCCGCUGGAGUUCAGUUGGCCGCUCCUCCACCGAGCCCACCCUCGGUGUCUUGGGGCCUGGAGCAGGAGGAGCUAAGGAAAAGAUGAAUUAGAUUGGGCGGAGCCACACUGUCCAUCAGCCGGAUGAUCACGCCCCUUUCGCCCAUUGGCGAUUAGUAACCAGCAGGAGUCCUAGAAGGAGGAAGCUUGAUGCUCAAAAGGACCCGAAUCCAACUGUCAAGCCCAUACAUUCAGCAGCUGUGGGGUCCGUAAGAAGAUGGUGAAUCAUCUGAACCCAAGCAUCGGUGUGAACAUGAGUGGGUGAAGACCUGAGGAACCAAAAUCAGUGCCCCCUCACCCUGAGAACGAAUGUCCAGCUCCCAAAUCUUCUCUGCAAACACUGUGGGUUCGGAGACAACUGAGGAAUGUGUGUGGCAGUUAACAGCGCCAGGUUUCUUUAAAGGAGAAAGCUGUGCGCCUGAUAAGGAAAUGGACCGCAGAGGAAGGAAGUCAAUGGAGCCACAGCCCAGAGAAGGCUCGUCAACCACAUCCAGCAUCUGAUGCAGAUUUCAGGGACCUGAGCUGCACUUCAAGGACCAGUCCAUCAACUCAUCCUUAAUAAUGGGGAUGGGUUGAGAAGACUGCAGUUUGUUUCUACCCAAGCCCAGUCUCCAAGUCCUAAGAGGCCAACAGCCUGGCUACCCUAAAAGCUCCGAGCAGUUGGCCCUAGAUAUUCCACAGAUAUUCCAGCUCUUUCUCCCCGUUCCCAGCCAUCCAUUCAAAGGAAGUGAGAAGCUAGGGUCUCUCCCUUCACUAUCGCUUUUGGGAAUUAAUUCCCUUGGACUGUUUGGGAAUUAAUUGCCUUGGGCUGUUUAGGCCAUCGAGAAGCUUUGGGUCAUCCCAAAGCCUGUUAGUGACUCUUGGCAGCUUCAGACAUCUUCCCGAGAGGGGAGCACUUUGGGAGCCUCUGAGCCGGCCUGUGUUCUGCGUUUACAAGUGGUCUCUUUGUGCAGAGAGGUCCGCACCCAUUUUCUAGGAGCUAUUUGAAGAAACAUUGAUGUGUAAAGGAACAGGAAGGCAGAUCCUUGCUCAGGAGGGCAGGGAGAACCCAGAGGGACUCAAAGGUACUAAUUAAGGACCAACAGCCAUAGCCCUCAGAGAAAGUUAAGACCUGGAGAAGACUUGGGCUUUUGUGUUUAAUUAGGAAGAUUGGAAUAACAGGGGCCAGAGGGAGAUUUUAGGAAGACAGAUUUCAAAGUGAUAUUUAACGUUCAGUCAGUUUAUUGAACAGUUAUCAUGAGCCUGGCACAGAUAUGCAACUAUAAACCAGUAGUUAAGACCAUUUAGAACUCCAGCUACAGACAAAGGAGUUUAUGUCAGGGGAGCGGGAGUGGGGUGGGGGAGUGCUGGCUUUACAGGAUAAGCACAGGACACCACAGAAAAGAGGUGUAGAUUGGGUGCUGGCAACUCCCAAUGAGGUCCCUGGAAGCCUCCUUAGGAAGGAGGCAGUGUGCAGAAACCCAGAUGAGGCUGGGAAAUCAGAGAAUGUAGUCAGGAAAGAGACAAUGGGCUGUGCAACAUGGCGCUCAGACCCAAAGCACACUGGAGUCACCUGGCAGCUCCCAAAAGGAAGACCGCUCAACCCUAGAGAUUCUGCUCGGAGGCAGGGUCUGUGCACAGGUGCAUUUCCAAAGCUGACCGUUCAUUGGGGUCGGAGAAGGGGAGAACAAUGGGAUUGUGACUGAGAAGAUGGCUCCAGAAAGUGCUUGUCUUGCAAGAAUGAAGACCUGAGUACAAAUCCCCAAGGCAAGUGCCCAGGAUGGCAGCAAUGAGGAAUGGAGACGGGAGAAUUCCUGGGAGUUGAUGGCCAGUCAGUCUCACCAACCGGCGAGCUCUAGGUUCAGUGAGGAGAAUCUAUUGAAAAUAAUUCAAGGGGAGGCAAUGUUGAUAUCUGGCUUACCCAUGCAUACACACAUGAACACACACGCAAGCAUGCACGCGCGCGCGCACACACACACACACACACACACACAAUCAUGCACACAACAUAAAAACCAAAAGACAGGUAUUGAUCAUAAUAAACUACACGUUGUAAGGUGGAGGUGUGGUUCAGAAGGUGAUAGCAGUCAGCAGUGUGCCCUCUGAAUUAAGGAUCUGUAGCUCAGAGGAGGGACACAGGAAACCACGGCAGACAGGUUUCAAGGCCUCAAGCAGAGGCCUAUGCUGGCCCAUGACUUUGUAAAACAAUGCUUAGAGAAGAAUUUUUGGGUUUGUAUUUCCUCUUCCUUUCUCCCCUCAGUGCUGCUGGAGGAGUAAGGGUUCCUUUCUCCUUACAAAUGUCCCCUCAGGGCCAUCAGGGCUAAUGAGACUUUCAGAGUCUCUUGGCCCAGCUCCUUGUCAAAGGAAGUACCCUCGCGCUGGUCUGUAGGGUGAUGCUGCAAGCCAGUGCCAGCCCUGCCUGUGUCUCCGGAAGCUCAGGUCCUCUGCACCCGCCUCAGGUGGGGAGCUCUCGUCUGGAUGCCUGCUCCUUCUCGCCUAUUGGCCCCACUCCCCUGCACCAGCUCAAGCACUAGUCUGGUCAAUUUCAGUGGGGGCCUCUUUCCCAGCACAGACAGAAGUGACAUAGGCCCUCCACUGUGUCCAGUUCCCGCAGUAGAAGUGAGAUGCUUCUCUUUGUCUUUGUCCCCCACACCGCCACCCCUCUAAGGCGAAGGUUGACAGCCUUUUCCUGCUCACCAGCCACCGGCUGGGAGGAAAC